This is a long non-coding RNA of Neltuma alba, 1055 nucleotides long. RefSeq lists it as uncharacterized. The record is from RefSeq and is a predicted model, not a curated record. Lineage: Eukaryota; Viridiplantae; Streptophyta; Magnoliopsida; Fabales; Fabaceae. The transcript has 5 exons.
UGAACGCAGGUAUAAAUGGGCACCUCAUCGACCCGUUCACGCUCUCGUGCGGUCGAAGACCCUGCCAUUAGGGCUGAGCUUUACACAUGGUCAGGUACAAAAUUCCGUGAAGAGUACGCACUUGUUUACACUUCUUCAAACCCUUCUCAAAUUUCAAUUUCUCAUUACAGAGUGAACCACGACAAGGUUCUUUUCACAUUGUAUGAUUGCUUUUGUGAGGGCAGUACAGUUAAGGUAGACAUUAAGUUCAUGGUAGACAGCCUUAUCGAUGGGCGUUACGUGAUUUACGUGAUUCGCUGACCAGACGGGGAUCCUAGAGCGUGGGGGAGAUUUAUAGAGCAAAUAGACCGGCCAAAUAUGUACCUAUUGAGAGUAAAAAUGGAAAUGAUGGCUAUAAGAGACGAGAACAGGUGUCUCAAGUUUGGUGCUGUUAAAUAUAGAGACUCUGGUACCAGAUACGAAGAAAGAAGGCGAUCAAGUACAGGCCACUAGCGGAGAGAGCGGAGAGGAAGAAGCUUUGAGACUAAACGGAGAACCCCAGCCGUCGUCCAGUUCGCGACCUUCACCUUUAUUUGUCUUCGUCGUCGUCGUCGUCGGUGUUCAUAGUCCCUGUCUCCUCCGCCGUUCAAGCAGAGAGAGCAGAGGGGGGGAAGCCUCGAGACUCUGAAAUGGAGAGCCCCAACCGUCAUCCGGUUCAUGUCCUUCGCCUUCAUUUGUCUUUGUCAUUGUUGGUGUUCAUAGUCCCUGUCUCCUCCACCAUUCAAGCAGUGUGUUGUUUCUUCUAUUCUUCUUGGCUGUGUUGUUGUGUUGGAUUGUGGUUUGAGUCUUUGUCUCUCUUCUUGUUUAAUGCUGCCGUGCGAUGAAGGCAAGUGAAUACUCUUGCCUCUAUUUCUCUGUUCAGAUUUAGUGAGUGUGUCUGUGUUGAAUCAUAAAUAUUUUUGCUCUAUUGUGGCCGUUGCAAAGUGUGUGUUAAAGCUGAAAUUUGUUUAUUCAUAUGCUUGGUGAACUUGCUUGAUUAUUGUUGAACUCAAGGUGUUGUAGAAAUGUCUAGGAAA